This 889-nucleotide ribosomal RNA is filed under the name Macrogastra tumida. Its description in RNAcentral is "partial large subunit ribosomal RNA". Lineage: Eukaryota; Metazoa; Mollusca; Gastropoda; Stylommatophora; Clausiliidae. The record is from RNAcentral.
UUAACUUAAAAUAGAUAAAUUUUUAACUUCCCGAAAUAAGAUGAUCUUACUUAGUUUGUAUAUUUGAACUAAUAAUAAAAAAAUUAUGUAGCAAAAAUAGUUAUAAAAAGCUAAAGUUAGGAGUGAAAGGCUAUACAAAUCUUAUUUAUAACUGGAUAUAAGCCCAAAUAUAUUUAGUAUAGUAAUUACAAAUGUAGAAUACUAAGAUUUUACAUAAAGAAUAGAUAGGGUCAGUUAAUUAUUUUGUUUUAUUAAUGUAACAUAGAAAAAUUAUAAUUAAAUUAUAAAUCUUCGAUCUUCUUUUGGUUUCUAGGCCUAUAAUUAAUUAUAAUAUAUUUAGAUAUUAAUUAAUGUUAAAAUGAGUAAUAAUAAUAAAAUAAGUUAAAGGAACUCGGCAAAUCCUCUUUUCAACUGUUUAUCAAAAACAUAGCUAAUUGCAAAUUAAUAAUUAGUUUAUUCUGCCCGGUGAAAUCUUUUAACGGCCGCAGUACACUGACUGUGCAAAGGUAGCAUAAUAAAUUGGCUUUUAAUUGGAGUCGUGUAUGAAAGAACAAAUGGGAAAAAACUGUCUUUAAUUUACUUAUAAUAAUUUACUAAGAAAGUGCAAAUUCUUUCAUUAAAAUUAAAAAGACGAGAAGACCCUAUAAAUUUUAAAUAAAAUGUUUUACUUUAAUUCUGUGUUUUUUGUUGGGGCAACAGAUUGACAAGUAUCAUAUAUUAAAUUAGUUAAAAUAAAUAGAUGCUUAUAACGAGUUUUACUAAAAAUAGAUAAAUUACUAUAGGGAUAACAGCAUAAUUUUAUUAAAUAAGAUUGUGACCUCGAUGUUGGAUUAGGAUUCAGUUAGAUUAGACAUUUAAUUGUUAGGUUCUGUUCGAACUUUUUAUUCCU